GAGUUAGGAAGAAGAAAUUUUGACUGUAGUUUUGUGAUGGUCCUUGUAUGAAAAGUUAACUUCGAGGUGUUUUACACUUUUGGAAAAAUUCACCCUAUUUUGAAAAUACUUUUCUCAGCGACUCCACCUGCAACUAUGAAAAUAUGGAGAAGGGUAUAAUAUGCAGAUUUUUUAUUACCAUCCGACAUCGACUUCAAGGUUCCACAAAACUUAAAUGAGUGAAAAACGUUGAUUUCAAUUUUCAGUUCUUCAUUCAUAGACUUCAAGCGCACAGCUACUACGAAAAAUAGUAGGCAUAGUAUCUCUGGACAUAUAGGCUCUACCCAUAAUGUUUUAAGUCUUGGUAAAAAUUUGGGCUAUAGCUUUAAGUUCUUAUUUUAAUGUAAAGGGUAAUUUUUUUUUGUAAAUUUAGAAGUUAAAAAUUUCGUGUGAUUUAAUGGCAACUGAAAAGAAGAAUAUGAGCUUUGCCGUCCUGCCCAGAGUCAUUAACGGCGGCAUUGCGGGCAUCAUCGGUGUGACAUGUGUAUUUCCGUUGGAUUUGGUGAAGACGCGACUGCAAAAUCAACAAAUCGGUCCCAAUGGUGAACGCAUGUACACUAGCAUGUUCGAUUGCUUCCGCAAGAUUUACGCGGCGGAGGGUUACUUUGGCAUGUACCGCGGCUCAGCCGUAAACAUAUUAUUGAUCACCCCUGAGAAGGGAAUCAAACUGACCGCUAACGAUUAUUUUCGCUAUCACCUGGCUACUCCGGACGGAAAACUAACACUGCUCAUGCAAUGUCUGGCCGGAGGUUUAGCUGGUGCAUUUCAAAUUAUUGUGACUACGCCUAUGGAGCUUUUAAAGAUUCAGUUGCAGGAUGCCGGACGUGUGGGUGGGCAUGAUUUAAAAAAGGUGACUGCUUGGUCUAUUACCAAGCAGCUUGUAAAAGAUAAUGGCAUCUUCGGCUUAUACAAGGGCGUCCGGGCCACUGGCGCGCGAGACAUUACUUUCUCGGUCAUCUACUUUCCAUUCUUUGCCUUUUUGAAUAACAGUGGACCCCGAAAGCCGGGCCCCUCAGGCGAAGCCGUCUUUUGGUGGUCCCUUAUCUCUGGGUUGGUGUCGGGAAUGUCAGCUGCUUUUGCGGUCACGCCCCUAGAUGUGAUUAAGACACGCUUGCAAGCCAUUAAAAAGGCGGAUGGCGAAAAGGAAUUUGAUGGCAUUUUCGACUGUAUCAACAAAACAUUGAAGUACGAAGGACCUAAGGCAUUCUUCAAGGGUGGGCUGUGUCGAAUGAUUGUAAUUGCUCCACUUUUUGGAAUAGCUCAGAUGGUCUACUUUAUGGGUAUAGGCGAACGUAUUCUGGGCAUUGAACAAAAGAAGUCUGUCUGAGAAAUGCUUGCCAUUCAUCUCUUAUUUCAAUGCAAUGGAAAUUUAUUGUGAGUUCUAAAAUUUAAAAUUUUCGUAAUAACAAAAUCACGUCAAAAGUAUAAAGUGUACAGAGACAAAAACUUAUUUUAUAGGCCCAUUAAUUACUUUAGAAAGGAACACAUCAUAAAGUUGAUAAGUAAAUUUAAAUGAUGCAUCCCAAAACUGGAUAGUUAUAUAUCAGCCCGCUUCUCUUAUCACAAUAAAUUCAAAACUUUGUCA
This 1624-nucleotide unclassified non-coding RNA is filed under the name Drosophila virilis. Its description in RNAcentral is "GJ23512". The record is from RNAcentral. Lineage: Eukaryota; Metazoa; Arthropoda; Insecta; Diptera; Drosophilidae.